RNAcentral lists this ribosomal RNA (1539 nucleotides) under Hydromantes brunus (limestone salamander). RNAcentral describes it as "large subunit ribosomal RNA". It matches the Rfam family "Bacterial large subunit ribosomal RNA". The record is from RNAcentral. Lineage: Eukaryota; Metazoa; Chordata; Amphibia; Caudata; Plethodontidae.
AUUUAAACUCUAGCCUAAACAUUUUUUACUUUAUUAUAUUACAUAAAACAUUUUUAUACGAAAGUACGGGUGACAGAAAACUUAUUAGCGCAAUAAAUUAAGUACUGCAAAGGAAAGAUGAAAUAGAAAUUAAAUAAUAUAAAAUAUAAAUAAGCAAAGUUAAAUACUUUUACCUUUUGCAUAAUGGCCUAGCCAGUCCACUUUAACAAAAAGAAUUUUAGCUAAACACCCCGAAACCAGACGAGCUACCUUUAGGCAGCAAUAUAUGAGCAAACUCUUCUCUGUGGCAAAAGAAUGAGAAGACCUAAAAGUAGGGGCGAAAAACCUAACGAGCCUGGAUAUAGCUGGUUACUUGAGAAUGAAUUUAAGUUCAAUUAAAAAUAUUUUUAUCUAUGAAAGAAUUAAAUAAUAUUUUUAUUUUAAUUAAUGGGGGUACAGCCCAAUUAAUAAAGGAAACAACCUCUACAAAUAAAUAAAGAUUAUAAUAAAUAAAGAAAUUAAUACUGUAGGCCUAAAAGCAGCCAUCAUUAAAAGCGUCACAGCUCAAUUUAAAAAAUACUUAUAAUUCCAAUUACAUAUCUUAAUUUAUUAUAUUAAUCAAGUUAAUCUAUAAUUUAGAUGUACUACUACUAGAAUGAGUAAUAAGGUAAGAAAACCUCUAUAAUACAUGUGUAUAUCAAAAUGAACAAAUCAUUGAUGUUUAACAUAAUAUCUUUCCUUCAAGAAUAUAUUCUAAUAAAUGUUAACCCAACACAGGAGUAUUAAAGGAAAAAUUUAAAAUUUAUAAAGGAACUCGGCAAACAAUAAGCUUCGCCUGUUUACCAAAAACAUCGCCCCUUGAUUUAAAACCAUAGGGGGUACUGCCUGCCCAGUGAUAAAUAUUCAACGGCCGCGGUAUUAUAACCGUGCAAAGGUAGCGUAAUCACUUGUCUUUUAAAUAAAGACCAGUAUGAAUGGCAAAACGAAAACUUAACUGUCUCCUUAAAUUGAUUAAUGAAAUUGAUCUCCCCGUGCAGAAGCGGGGAUAGUACUAUAAGACGAGAAGACCCUAUGGAGCUUUAAAUUUAAAUUAAUUAUAUUAAAAUAUAAAAUAUAAUAAAUAAUAUAAACAAAAAUUUUAGGUUGGGGCGACCACGGAGCAAACUUUAACCUCCGAGAUAAAUAAUUAAGAAUUACACUUCAAAAUAAUAAAAUAUUAGUAUAUUUGAUCCAAUAUUUGAUCAACGAACUAAGUUACCCUAGGGAUAACAGCGCAAUCUCCUCAAAGAGUUCAUAUCGAUGAGCAGGUUUACGACCUCGAUGUUGGAUCAGGACUUCCCAAUGGUGCAGCAACUAUUAAAGGUUCGUUUGUUCAACGAUUAAAGUCCUACGUGAUCUGAGUUCAGACCGGAGUAAUCCAGGUCAGUUUCUAUCUAUAAAUAGUUUUUCCUAGUACGAAAGGACCGGAAAAAAAAGGCCUAUAAUAAAUUUAAGCCUUCUUAUUUAUCUCUGAAAUUUAUAAAAAGAAAAAUAAGAAAAAUAUAGAUCAAGAAAUGAUUU